RNAcentral lists this transfer RNA (75 nucleotides) under Candidatus Planktophila limnetica. Its description in RNAcentral is "tRNA-Val". It matches the Rfam family "tRNA". Rfam says of the family: Transfer RNA (tRNA) molecules are approximately 80 nucleotides in length. Their secondary structure includes four short double-helical elements and three loops (D, anti-codon, and T loops). Lineage: Bacteria; Bacillati; Actinomycetota; Actinomycetes; Candidatus Nanopelagicales; Candidatus Nanopelagicaceae. The record is from RNAcentral. RNAcentral also lists the same sequence under 3 other names.
GGACGAUUGGCUCAGCGGUAGAGCACCACAUUGACAUUGUGGGGGUCACUGGUUCGAUCCCAGUAUCGUCCACAA